GAAUUGGGUUCCCCCAAGGAGCGGCAGCGGUCCGUCGAGAGGGCACGUCAGUCGCUGCCCUCUCCGCCGUGUUUGUUAUUCCAAUAUCUUGUUCUUCUCUUCUCUGAUUUCCUCCUCUUCCACCAGCGUCGGAAUGCGAAGACGUCUCUCCACGGUCCUCGCCCGCGGCGCCCAUGGACCUUGGGCCUUUCAAAGGACCAGGAGUCGCUCCUACUGCGAUCGAUCGCAGAGGCCCGCGGAACGGGCCGAACGGCGCCCAGGCCCACUUUCAACAUAUAGGAGCAUGGUUAGCCGGGGGAAACUUCGAUAUGAUGUUUACCAGGAAAAAGUAGCCUUUGAGUUAGAAGAUUUACUUGGAAGACUAGAGCAGUAUGGGAAAGAAAUGGACGAUUACCAUGAAAAAUUGACUAUUUGGGAGAAGAAUAGAGAGAGUGAGAGAAACAAACUUCUGCUGGAAGAAGCUAAGCUUAAACAGCAGGAGGGUGUAUGGAUGGAAGCAAGAAACAUCAGGAGUGGAUUUGUUGACAAGUGGAUAUUUAGGAGAAGGCGUGGGAAUGUAGAACCUGGUGUUGGAAAAAUGGUGUCAUAUCUUAAUCGAGAGAAGAGGCUAGAUUCUGUAGUUGGUUGCCGACCAGUUGCACCUGCAACUCCAAAAGGAAUAUAUCUUUAUGGAAACGUUGGAAGUGGAAAGACUAUGCUAAUGGACAUGUUUUACAGUGCCACUGAAGGUAUUGUAAAGCACCGGCGGAGGUUUCACUUUCAUGAGGCAAUGCUUGAAAUACAUGAACAUAUGCAUGACAUAUGGAAGAACCGGCACAAUGACAGGUCUGUCCAAUCCAGUACUUUCAGUUGGAUAACUAGUCUCCCAUUUGAUGUGAAAGUCAAAGAGUGGUUGAUUGGAGAGGAAAGAUAUAAGCAGGAGGUACAAACAAAACAUAUUCUACCUGCUGUAGCAGAUAAAUUUCUUGUUGACAGGAAAGCAAAUAAGAUUGGGGCAAGUGUUCUCUGCUUUGACGAGAUACAGACUGUUGAUGUGUUUGCUAUUGUGGCCUUAUCUGGAAUUUUAAGUAGAUUAUUAAGCACUGGAACAGUUCUUGUGGCUACCAGUAACAGAGCACCUGAGGAUUUGAAUCAGGAUAGUAUGCAGCAAGAUAUCUUCCGAUCAUUCUUGUCCAAGUUGGAGGAAAAUUGUCAAAAAAUUCUAGUUGGUAGUGAGAUUGAUCAUCGCCGCCUAAUACCAAAUACAACAGGAGAUCAGUGUCAUUACUUCUGGCCAUCCAAUUCUGAUGCCCACAGAGAAUAUGAAGCCAUGUGGCAUGACAUCACUAAACAAGCUGGAGAAAAUAUUGCUCCGAGAAUCAUUUCCGUUAUGUUUGGGAGAUCCCUGGAGGUUCCUGAAAGCUGUAACGGAAUAGCAAGAUUCAACUUUGAGUAUCUUUGUGGUCGCCCAGUUGGAGCAGCAGAUUAUAUUGCAGUAGCCAGAAACUUUCACACAGUGUUCAUAUCGGGGAUUCCAGUGAUGAGUAUGAGAAUUCGUGACAAGGCGCGGAGGUUUAUCACUCUUCUUGAUGAGUUGUACAAUCACCACUGCCGCCUUGUCUGUUUAGCAGCUGCUUCCAUUGAUGAUCUAUUUCAAGGAACUGAUGAAGGAGCUCUUUUUGAUCUCGAGAGUUUUCAGUUUGAGACUGAGACAGAAGGUGGGAAACUGCGACGAGAUGUUUUAGCUGCUGGUAGUGCCGGUUCAGGGCCGCCUCCUUCUGGAAUCAUAUCUUUGUUAUCUGGCCAGGAAGAGAUGUUUGCCUUUCGCAGGGCUGUCUCACGGUUGAUUGAAAUGCAGACACCAUUGUAUAUUGAAGGGGUUCGUGCAUUCCACCCCUUCUUUCAACAGCACAGCCAGCAGCUGUCGAUUUGUUCAACUUCCUCCUCCCUUCAACCAUCCUACUGACAGUUAUUUGCUCGUAAUACAACUAAGAAGAUUUUGAACCCCAAAGCAGGGUAAACACCCAAGGUCCAAGUCCCCUCCUCACUGGUUGCAGGAGCAUUUGCUUGAGUCACUUCAACCUCGUCAAGAUGCCGAUGUAUCUCCUACAUGCUUUCCUCAAAAUCUGGUGGAAGGGAGACACAUCAGAGCUUUAUAGCAGUCCCACUCCAAGUCUAAUAGGAGUUGUACCAUAUGCUGUAACACGCUAGUUUGCUGCUUAUGCGAUACUGAAGAUGUCCCUCUAAGGACCUUAGGGGAAAUUGGUAAAAUUACAGCGUUCCA
Phoenix dactylifera (date palm) is the source of this 2263-nucleotide non-coding RNA. The record is from RefSeq and is a predicted model, not a curated record. Lineage: Eukaryota; Viridiplantae; Streptophyta; Magnoliopsida; Arecales; Arecaceae.